Long non-coding RNA from Osmerus eperlanus (European smelt), 1351 nucleotides. RefSeq lists it as uncharacterized. The record is from RefSeq and is a predicted model, not a curated record. Lineage: Eukaryota; Metazoa; Chordata; Actinopteri; Osmeriformes; Osmeridae. The transcript is spliced from 2 exons.
GCUGGUCUCCUGGUGUUUGACGCUGGGCUUCUGGUGAUCUCUGCCUCCUUCUGCUCCGUCAAUGGUCCUGUGACAUGCAUGCCCACACAUAUGUAAGAGAGAGAAAGAGAUAGAGAAAAACAGAGAGUUUUUAAAGAGUGUUAAAAAAAGGUUUGCUCAGGACGGUCCGUACCCAUCCUUACCCCACCAUCUAUUUUUCCUCCUAGAUGAGGUCUCCGUAGACAUCUUCCAUUAUCAGGGCUGCUAAGUGGCCUGUUGUGCCAAUAGCUUUUGGUACAACAACAUUCAAUUACCUCUGCACUUGGAAACUACUCUGCUAGUUCACCACAUAGCUUAGCGCAGCAUUAUACAGACUUAAUACUUUGUGGAGCCAAUCACACCAUUGCUGGUGCCGGCAUCCCUUUUAAGAGUGGAGGCAGAGAUUUGGGGCAAUUAGAGCUUGGGUUGAGCAGGUGUGACAGGAGGGCCGCAAGCGUGCACACCACAUGCACACACCUCCCCAAUUAAGAGUGAAACCUUGACUGCUGAGUGUGAGCAGGUCAGGUGAUGGAAACCAGGGGUUUUGUUCUUCUUGUGGACAGGAUAAUUGUUAGUCUGUUGCUAGGCAGGUUUGAUGCUAGACUAGAACUGACCGCUUCCUGACGGUAUACUGUAGAAACAUAACAAUACACUGUAUGCCGUGCAUUGUGGGUUGCAAUAUUAUAGUAACCUUCAUAAGGGGGGUACUAAAGACAACAUAUACUGUGUGUCUCUAGUAGCUUUGUUCCUUAAUUGGCAUCUUUACACAGACUAUUGUUGAACUGAACUUACCCAAGUUGAGAAAAUUAAAGACUUUGUGCAUUGUGUAUUUCCGAUUGGAGGCAUGGUCUUCCAGGCGCAGGACCAAAAUCUGAUUUUUGCUGAAGACCGUCAGCCAGUCUAAUAUGUACACAAUGUACAGACCAACCUGCAACCUGACCUGUGGACACACAUCAGAGACAGAGUCUGAAAGACUUCUCCCAGUCCAAGCAAUUUCCUGUUCAGCAUAGAAAUACAACUGACAAAGGAACACAGGCGCGUUACAAAGUCUUCAGAGGGCUAAAUGGCCACUCAAACUGGAGGUUCAUCAGACAGCAUAUGAUUCUCCUCGGUUGUUGUUGUUGAUUCCUCUUUAAAUUCCUUGCUCAGCUGUCUGUUCUCAAGCCUUUAUCAAAUAUGUCACAAGCACAACAGCUCCCCACAAUGCAGCUCACAUGGUCUAAUAACUCAGAGAUAUAUCAGCCAAUGCACAAUUAGGCCCGGAGAAGAGAAUGUGCCAGCUCCUAAAGGGGAAAAUAAAAGCUUCUCAAGCCAGCAGAGAGGGAUGGUGGGU